AAUUAAUAUUUGUUGUAAAUUUUUAGUAUUAAAAAUAAUUAUAAAAUUUAAUGUUUAAGUAUUUUAUAAAGAAAAAAUAAUUUUAAUUAUAGUUAAAUAGUAUUGUGAAAGAAUAUUGAAAUAAUAUGAAAAUUAAUUAUAUUUAAAGAAAAUUUAAUUUAUUGUACCUUGUGUAUCAGGGUUUAUUAAAUAAAAAUUAUUUAAUAUAAUUUUCUCGAUUUUAAAAGAGUUAAUGUACUAUAAAAGUUAAUGUAAUAAUAUUAUUUUUAAUAGUAUAUUAGAAAUGAAAUGUUAUUCGUUUUUAAAGGUAUCUAGUUUUUUAAGAAAUGAAUUUAAUUCAGAAAUUUUAUAUUUUUUAAUUAGUUAAAUUAGUUAAAAGAAUAUAUUGUUUUAAUAUUUUAUGGGAUAAGCUAUAAAAUAAAUUAUUAAAAAUUAAUAAAUUAAUUAAUAUAUACAUAUAAGCUUAAAAAUAGUUAUUAUUAACAAAAAUGUUAUAAUUUAUAUUAUUAAAUAAAUUAUUUAUUAUAUUUUAAAUUUUUAUUAAAAUAUUUAUUUAAAUUUUAAAAAUAAAUAAAUAAUGAUAAAAUUAGUAUAUUAUUUUGUAUAAAUAUGUUAUUAUGAUAAGUUUUUAUAAAGAACUCGGCAAAAUUAAUGUUCGCCUGUUUAACAAAAACAUGUCUUUUUGAAUUAUAUUUAAAGUCUAACCUGCCCACUGAAUAUUUAAAUGGCCGCAGUAUAUUAACUGUGCAAAGGUAGCAUAAUCAUUAGUCUUUUAAUUGAAGGCUGGAAUGAAUGGUUGGACGAAGCAUUAACUGUUUCAUAGAAAUUUAUAAUAGAAUUUUAUUUUUUAGUCAAAAAGCUAAAAUAAAUUUAAAAGACGAGAAGACCCUAUAAAUCUUUAUAUUUAGGUUAUUAUAAUUUUCUAGAAUUUUUUUUAUUAUAAUGAUUUAUAUUAUUUUAUUGGGGUGAUAUUAAAAUUUAAUAAACUUUUAAUUUUUAUUUACAUUAAUUUAUGAAUUAUUGAUCUAUUAUUAAUGAUUAAAAAAUUAAGUUACUUUAGGGAUAACAGCGUAAUUUUUUUGAAGAGUUCAUAUCGAUAAAAAAGAUUGCGACCUCGAUGUUGGAUUAAGGUAUAAUUUUAGGUGUAGGUGCUUAAAUUUUAAGUCUGUUCGACUUUUAAAUUCUUACAUGAUCUGAGUUCAAACCGGUGUAAGCCAGGUUGGUUUCUAUCUUUAAAAAUUUUUAAUAUUUUAGUACGAAAGGAUUUAAUAUUAGAUAAAUUAUUAUUUAAAUUGUUGAAUGUAAUUAACUAAAUUA
This 1317-nucleotide ribosomal RNA is filed under the name Phaonia errans. Its description in RNAcentral is "16S ribosomal RNA". The stretch from base 1062 to 1221 matches the Rfam family "Archaeal large subunit ribosomal RNA", at positions 2544 to 2703 of the family's 2987-position model. Lineage: Eukaryota; Metazoa; Arthropoda; Insecta; Diptera; Muscidae. The record is from RNAcentral.